UCUGAUACCACUUGUUGUCCCUUGAAGCAACCCAAAAGGGGGGGUGAAUUGGGUUUAUAAAAAAAUUUAAUGCAAAAAGAUAAAUUAAAAGGCAAUAAAGAAGAGAAUGAUCAACACAAGGAUUUAUAGAGGUUUAGCUAUCUCAAGCCUACAUCCUCUCCUCAAGGCCAGCUCCGGCCCUCUAGCACUCUGUUAUGGCGCAAUCAUCUUGGACCACAUCAGCAAGACCUUUCUUUGGUGAAGCAGGUGUGAUGUCCUUCUCGUUAUCCAAAAGAGUGUCGGAAGCUUAUUUUGGUGAAGCUGGAAAGUCCCUCUUCCCUUAGGGAAUCCAUUUUGUGAAGAAGGAAGGCUCUCCUUGAGAGUUCAAC
RNAcentral lists this long non-coding RNA (368 nucleotides) under Manihot esculenta (cassava). Its description in RNAcentral is "long non-coding RNA (MESC_LNC011126)". The record is from RNAcentral. Lineage: Eukaryota; Viridiplantae; Streptophyta; Magnoliopsida; Malpighiales; Euphorbiaceae.